UACGAAGGGGGCUAGCGUUGCUCGGAAUCACUGGGCGUAAAGGGCGCGUAGGCGGAUCUUUAAGUCGGGGGUGAAAGCCCAGGGCUCAACCCUGGAAUUGCCUUCGAUACUGGAGAUCUUGAGACCGGAAGAGGUAAGUGGAACUGCGAGUGUAGAGGUGAAAUUCGUAGAUAUUCGCAAGAACACCAGUGGCGAAGGCGGCUUGCCAGAACGCGCUCGACGGUGAGGGAUGAAAGCUGGGGGAGCAAACCGG
RNAcentral lists this ribosomal RNA (253 nucleotides) under uncultured bacterium. RNAcentral's name for it is "partial 16S ribosomal RNA". It matches the Rfam family "Bacterial small subunit ribosomal RNA", at positions 524 to 776 of the family's 1533-position model. The record is from RNAcentral.